GAUGAACGCUGGCGGCGUGCCUAAUACAUGCAAGUAGAACGCUGAAGGAGGAGCUUGCUCUUCUGGAUGAGUUGCGAACGGGUGAGUAACGCGUAGGUAACCUGCCUGGUAGCGGGGGAUAACUAUUGGAAACGAUAGCUAAUACCGCAUGACAACAGUUAUUGCAUGAUAACUGUUUAAAAGGGGCAACUGCUCCACUACCAGAUGGACCUGCGUUGUAUUAGCUAGUUGGUGAGGUAACGGCUCACCAAGGCGACGAUACAUAGCCGACCUGAGAGGGUGAUCGGCCACACUGGGACUGGGACACGGCCCAGACUCCUACGGGAGGCAGCAGGAGGGAAUCUUCGGCAAUGGACGGAAGUCUGACCGAGCAACGCCGCGUGAGUGAAGAAGGUUUUCGGAUCGUAAAGCUCUGUUGUAAGAGAAGAACGAGGGUGAGAGUGGAAAGUUCACACUGUGACGGUAUCUUACCAGAAAGGGACGGCUAACUACGUG
This 495-nucleotide ribosomal RNA is filed under the name uncultured bacterium. RNAcentral describes it as "partial 16S ribosomal RNA". It matches the Rfam family "Bacterial small subunit ribosomal RNA", at positions 28 to 507 of the family's 1533-position model. The record is from RNAcentral.